CAGAAUAAUCCAUCUCCUUAAUUUAUUCCUUCUCUAUGGUGAGUAGUUAACCUGUAGUCUAGAAUAACCCUGAAUGGUUCGCAUAUUCAUCCUAAACGCUAUCUUCAUCCUAGACAACUGGUUAUCUACUCACCAUAUAGAAGUAAUAAAUUAAGCAAAUGGAUUAUUCUGUUUGUGGACAUAAAGAUGACAUCCUUACCAGUAAUAGACUGCACAUUCUCCUUCUCCUUAGCAAUAAUAGAGCGCACAUUCUUCAUGAAGUGAUGAACUUUGUCUAUCAAAGGAUAAGUGUUAUUGUAUUCUCAUCCAUGUUAGUAUAUUUCACCAUAAUGAGGGCCCUCAAAAUAUGGGCAUCUAUUUGUGUUUUUGAACUUGUAUCCUCAUCCAUGUUAGUAUGCUUCACCCUAGUGAGGGCCCUCAAAAUAUGGGCACUCGUUGUUAUUUUUGAAUCGUCAAUUUCUUCAUCUAGGUUGAGUUUACGCCUUGCAUGCCUUUGCCCUUCAUCAUUGAUAUAUGCUCUCUUUAUCAUGCCACUAUAUGGACUUGGCUUUCAGGUGUAGAGCCAUGAUUCAGUUGUGUACUUGAGAAUCUGGAGUCGAGGUGUACCUUUCUCUAAGACUAAUAUUUGUGUCAUGUAAGUACCUAAGUUUUAUCAUUUAUAAAAAUUAUAGAGUAGCUGGAACUAUAGCCAUAACUUUUUUGUUGGCAAGUGUCAUUUGAUUUCUUUAAUAAUCGUUGGAUUCUUAACAAUGUUGGGUUCAUCUUUGCUUCGGGGGUGUUUACCUGUGAUAUGUAAAAUGAGGUGUAAAUUUCAGAGUAAAUUUAUAAGGAAACAUUAAAUCUUCAUGGUCAUUCAUAUUAGAAAAGAAAAAGGACUCCUAACAAAACAUUUUCUUCUGCAGAAUAUCUAAACUUUUGUUGACUUAGCUAUUCGUGAGGAUGUGUUUACAAUGGAUGACAACAGACCACCAGCAGUAUCUAUCUCCUCCCCACGUUUGGAUGUAGUACAUCCAUUACUCUAGACACCUGGAGGCCAGGUUCUUUGACUAGAGGGCUGCAUGUUUUCUCCCCACUUAUUGAGGAAAGAAAGGCUGACCUUAAGAAGAAAAUUGCUCUUUCAUCCCAUCGGGUUUCGCUAUCAGCAUGUUUGUGGACUCCUCAUGGAUCUGAGGCCUCAGUGAAGUAUCUCUGUUUGGCAGUGCAUUUUAUUGAUUCUGGCUGUAAAAUUGAAAAGAGAAUAAUCAAAUUUGGUAUAUUUCAAUCAUCACGUACUAAUUUAGAUAGAAUGAUACAUUUUAAGGAGGAUUGUGCCCUAGAUUCUGAUAGUGGGCCAUUUAAUGUCAUGUGGGAAGCUAUAUAAA
Long non-coding RNA from Panicum virgatum (switchgrass), 1361 nucleotides. RefSeq lists it as uncharacterized. NCBI's taxonomy places the organism in Eukaryota, Viridiplantae, Streptophyta, Magnoliopsida, Poales, Poaceae. The record is from RefSeq and is a predicted model, not a curated record. The transcript has 2 exons.